Molecule: ribosomal RNA, 419 nt
Filed under: bacterium
Lineage: Bacteria
Description: partial 16S ribosomal RNA
Rfam family: Bacterial small subunit ribosomal RNA
Source: RNAcentral
UGGGGGAUAUUGCACAAUGGGCGAAAGCCCGAUGCAGCGACGCCGCGUGGGGGAUGAAGGCCUUCGGGUUGUAAACUUCUUUUGCUCUGAACAAGGCAUGCUAAUGGGUGUGUUGAGUGUAGGGGUUGAUUAGCGCCGGCUAACUACGUGCCAGCAGCCGCGGUAAUACGUAGGGCGCGAGCGUUGUCCGGAAUUAUUGGGCGUAAAGGGCUUGUAGGUGGCUGGUUGCGUCUGUCGUGAAAGCUCAUGGCUUAACUGUGGGUUUGCGGUGGGUACGGGCUGGCUUGAGUGCAGUAGGGGAGGCUGGAAUUCCUGGUGUAGCGGUGGAAUGCGCAGAUAUCAGGAGGAAUACCGGUGGCGAAGGCGGGUCUCUGGGCUGUUACUGACACUGAGGAGCGAAAGCAUGGGGAGCGAACAGG